RNAcentral lists this ribosomal RNA (492 nucleotides) under uncultured bacterium. RNAcentral describes it as "partial 16S ribosomal RNA". It matches the Rfam family "Bacterial small subunit ribosomal RNA", at positions 29 to 507 of the family's 1533-position model. The record is from RNAcentral.
AGUGAACGCUGGCGGUAGGCCUAACACAUGCAAGUCGAACGGCAGCACAGUAAGAGCUUGCUCUUACGGGUGGCGAGUGGCGGACGGGUGAGGAAUACAUCGGAAUCUACUUUUUGGUGGGGGAUAACGUAGGGAAACUUACGCUAAUACCGCAUACGACCUACGGGUGAAAGCAGGGGAUCUUCGGACCUUGCGCGAUUGAAUGAGCCGAUGUCGGAUUAGCUAGUUGGCGGGGUAAAGGCCCACCAAGGCGACGAUCCGUAGCUGGUCUGAGAGGAUGAUCAGCCAAACUGGAACUGAGACACGGUCCAGACUCCUACGGGAGGCAGCAGUGGGGAAUAUUGGACAAUGGGCGCAAGCCUGAUCCAGCCAUACCGCGUGGGUGAAGAAGGCCUUCGGGUUGUAAAGCCCUUUUGUUGGGAAAGAAAAGCAGCAGGUUAAUACCCCGCUGUUCUGACGGUACCCAAAGAAUAAGCACCGGCUAACUUCGUG